CCGACUCCUACGGGAGGCAGCAGUGAGGAAUAUUGGUCAAUGGUCGAGAGACUGAACCAGCCAAGUCGCGUGAAGGAAGACGGCUCUAUGAGUUGUAAACUUCUUUUGUACAGGAGUAAAGUGAGACACGCGUGUUUUAUUGCAAGUACUGUACGAAUAAGCAUCGGCUAACUCCGUGCCAGCAGCCGCGGUAAUACGGAGGAUGCAAGCGUUAUCCGGAUUUAUUGGGUUUAAAGGGUGCGUAGGCGGUAUUACAAGUCAGGGGUGAAAUCUUGGUGCUUAACAUUAAAAUUGCCUUUGAAACUGUGGUACUUGAGUGUAAAA
Molecule: ribosomal RNA, 324 nt
Filed under: uncultured bacterium
Lineage: Bacteria
Description: bacterial SSU rRNA
Rfam family: Bacterial small subunit ribosomal RNA
Source: RNAcentral